Molecule: long non-coding RNA, 597 nt
Organism: Carassius carassius (crucian carp)
Lineage: Eukaryota; Metazoa; Chordata; Actinopteri; Cypriniformes; Cyprinidae
Exons: 2
Source: RefSeq, a predicted model, not a curated record
AAAAAUAACUUAAAUGUUUCAAACUUGAUAUGUGACAACUUGUUAUAGAGAGAUAAAAAAAGGGUGUAUUUGUGUUAAUCUGUGUUAUAGUUCUGAGGAGAACUCUGAAGUGUUUAAGAGAGUGUGUUUGUAGUCCUGGGGUCUGGCAGGUGUGGGAUGUUGUGCACUGUUGUUCAAUCUCCCGCCAAUAUUGCACUCGUCCCGGCCUCCCUGACCACGAGGAACACGCGACUCCCGCAGUAAUCUCCCGCCACAACAGCCGCUUAUGAAGAGCUCAACCACUAGGGCGGCGCCAGACUGCAGGUUCUCCUCAUCCAGAGUGACACAUACGCUGGGUAAAUCUCUCAUCUUUCCUGGUUGUUUGGCCCCUCGCACACAGGAGUUCAGUGGCCCCACGCUGGGUUUCAGAGGGUCUAGAGAGAGAGACGGAGGGCAUCUCACUCCUCUCACACCUUUAUGUGCAUUAGAACCUGUUUACGGUGUGUAGUGAAGUCCUCUGGAACAGUAUCUGGAAAAUAUAUGUUUCAUUUGCUUUGUGAGUGUGUAGUUUUGUUAUUGUAAUCCUUUUUUUUGUCAAUAAACAACUUUUAUUCAGAA